GAUGAACGCUGGCGGCGUGCCUAAUACAUGCAAGUCGAGCGAAUGGAUUAAGAGCUUGCUCUUAUGAAGUUAGCGGCGGACGGGUGAGUAACACGUGGGUAACCUGCCCAUAAGACUGGGAUAACUCCGGGAAACCGGGGCUAAUACCGGAUAAUAUUUUGAACUGCAUGGGUCAAAAUUGAAAGGCGGCUUCGGCUGUCACUUAUGGAUGGACCCGCGUCGCAUUAGCUAGGUGGUGAGGUAACGGCUCACCAAGGCAACGAUGCGUAGCCGACCUGAGAGGGUGAUCGGCCACACUGGGACUGAGACACGGCCCAGACUCCUACGGGAGGCAGCAGCAGGGAAUCUUCCGCAAUGGACGAAAGUCUGACGGAGCAACGCCGCGUGAGUGAUGAAGGCUUUCGGGUCGUAAAACUCUGUUGUUAGGGAAGAACAAGUGCUAGUUGAAUAAGCUGGCACCUUGACGGUACCUAACCAGAAAGCCACGGCUAACUACGUGCCAGCCGCCGCGGUAA
RNAcentral lists this ribosomal RNA (515 nucleotides) under uncultured bacterium. RNAcentral describes it as "partial 16S ribosomal RNA". It matches the Rfam family "Bacterial small subunit ribosomal RNA", at positions 28 to 523 of the family's 1533-position model. The record is from RNAcentral.